This 252-nucleotide ribosomal RNA is filed under the name uncultured bacterium. RNAcentral describes it as "partial 16S ribosomal RNA". It matches the Rfam family "Bacterial small subunit ribosomal RNA", at positions 793 to 1055 of the family's 1533-position model. The record is from RNAcentral.
GUCCACGCCGUAAACGAUGGAUACUAGCUGUUGGGCAACCUCAGUGGCUAAGCGAAAGUGAUAAGUAUCCCACCUGGGGAGUACGUUCGCAAGAAUGAAACUCAAAGGAAUUGACGGGGCCCGCACAAGCGGUGGAGCAUGUGGUUUAAUUCGAUGAUACGCGAGGAACCUUACCAAGGCUUAAAUGUAGUUUGACCGAUUUGGAAACAGAUCUUUCGCAAGACAAAUUACAAGGUGCUGCAUGGUUGUCGU